This 83-nucleotide transfer RNA is filed under the name Lentinula edodes (shiitake mushroom). RNAcentral's name for it is "tRNA-Arg". It matches the Rfam family "tRNA". From Rfam's summary of the family: Transfer RNA (tRNA) molecules are approximately 80 nucleotides in length. Lineage: Eukaryota; Fungi; Basidiomycota; Agaricomycetes; Agaricales; Omphalotaceae. The record is from RNAcentral.
GCCGGCGUGGCGCAAUGGUAGCGCGUAGCUUUCCUACGGUGUUGGUUAGGCUGAAGUUGCGGGUUCGAUCCCCGUCGUCGGUU